UACGUAGGGUGCAAGCGUUGUCCGGAAUCAUUGGGCGUAAAGAGCGUGUAGGCGGCCCGAUCAGUCCGCUGUAAAAGUCCAGGGCUCAACCCUGGAAGGCCGGUGGAUACUGUCGGGCUAGAGUCCGGAAGAGGCGAGUGGAAUUCCUGGUGUAGCGGUGAAAUGCGCAGAUAUCAGGAGGAACACCAAUGGCGAAGGCAGCUCGCUGGGACGGUACUGACGCUGAGACGCGAAAGCGUGGGGAGCAAACAGG
This 253-nucleotide ribosomal RNA is filed under the name uncultured bacterium. RNAcentral describes it as "partial 16S ribosomal RNA". It matches the Rfam family "Bacterial small subunit ribosomal RNA", at positions 524 to 776 of the family's 1533-position model. The record is from RNAcentral.